RNAcentral lists this ribosomal RNA (827 nucleotides) under uncultured fungus. Its description in RNAcentral is "SSU rRNA". It matches the Rfam family "Eukaryotic small subunit ribosomal RNA", at positions 563 to 1416 of the family's 1831-position model. The record is from RNAcentral. Lineage: Eukaryota; Fungi.
UGUGCCAGCCGCCGCGGUAAUUCCAGCUCCAAUAGCGUAUAUUAAAGUUGUUGCAGUUAAAAAGCUCGUAGUUGAAACUUGGGCCUGGCUGGCGGGUCCGCCUCACCGCGUGCACUCGUCCGGCCGGGCCUUCCUUCUGAAGAACCUCAUGCCCUUCACUGGGCGUGCUGGGGAAUCAGGACUUUUACUUUGAAAAAAUUAGAGUGUUCAAAGCAGGCCCUUGCUCGAAUACGUUAGCAUGGAAUAAUAAAAUAGGGCGUGCGUUUCUAUUUUGUUGGUUUCUAGAGACGCCGCAAUGAUUAACAGGAACAGUCGGGGGCAUCAGUAUUCAGUUGUCAGAGGUGAAAUUCUUGGAUUUACUGAAGACUAACUACUGCGAAAGCAUUUGCCAAGGAUGUUUUCAUUAAUCAGUGAACGAAAGUUAGGGGAUCGAAGACGAUCAGAUACCGUCGUAGUCUUAACCGUAAACUAUGCCGACUAGGGAUCGGGCGAUGUUCUUUUUCUGACUCGCUCGGCACCUUACGAGAAAUCAAAGUUUUUGGGUUCUGGGGGGAUUAUGGUCGCAAGGCUGAAACUUAAAGAAAUUGACGGAAGGUCACCACCAGGCGUGGAGCCUGCGGCUUAAUUUGACUCAACACGGGGAAACUCACCAGGUCCAGAUGAAAUAAGGAUUGACAGAUUGAGAGCUCUUUCUUGAUUUUUCACGUGGUGGUGCAUGGCCGUUCUUAGUUCGUGGGGUGACUUGUCUGCUUAAUUGCGAUAACGAGCGAGACCUUACUCUGCUAAAUAGCCAGGCUAACUUUGGGUUGGUCGCCGGCUUCUUAGAG